CCUACGGGUGGCAGCAGUGGGGAAUAUUGGACAAUGGGCGAAAGCCUGAUCCAGCAAUGCCGCGUGUGUGAAGAAGGCCUUCGGGUUGUAAAGCACUUUCAGUGGGGAAGAAAGCCUUGGGGCUAAUACCCUCGAGGAAGGACAUCACCCACAGAAGAAGCACCGGCUAACUCCGUGCCAGCAGCCGCGGUAAUACGGAGGGUGCGAGCGUUAAUCGGAAUUACUGGGCGUAAAGCGCGCGUAGGCGGUCUGAUAAGCCGGUUGUGAAAGCCCCGGGCUCAACCUGGGACCGGCAUCCGGAACUGUCAGGCUAGAGUGCAGGAGAGGAAGGUAGAAUUCCCGGUGUAGCGGUGAAAUGCGUAGAGAUCGGGAGGAAUACCAGUGGCGAAGGCGGCCCUCUGGACUGACACUGACGCUGAGGUGCGAAAGCGUGGGUAGCAAACAGGAUUAGAUACCCUAGUAGUC
Molecule: ribosomal RNA, 465 nt
Filed under: Vreelandella stevensii
Lineage: Bacteria; Pseudomonadati; Pseudomonadota; Gammaproteobacteria; Oceanospirillales; Halomonadaceae
Description: partial 16S ribosomal RNA
Rfam family: Bacterial small subunit ribosomal RNA
Source: RNAcentral